Molecule: ribosomal RNA, 1378 nt
Filed under: uncultured bacterium
Lineage: Bacteria
Description: bacterial SSU rRNA
Rfam family: Bacterial small subunit ribosomal RNA
Source: RNAcentral
CCUGGCUCAGGAUGAACGCUAGCUACAGGCUUAACACAUGCAAGUCGAGGGGCAGCAUGUGUCUUAGCGUUGCUAAGGCCGAUGGCGACCGGCGCACGGGUGAGUAACACGUAUCCAACCUGCCGUCUACUCUUGGACAGCCUUCUGAAAGGAAGAUUAAUACAAGAUGGCAUCAUGAGUCCGCAUGUUCACAUGAUUAAAGGUAUUCCGGUAGACGAUGGGGAUGCGUUCCAUUAGAUAGUAGGCGGGGUAACGGCCCACCUAGUCUUCGAUGGAUAGGGGUUCUGAGAGGAAGGUCCCCCACAUUGGAACUGACACACGGUCCAAACUCCUACGGGAGGCAGCAGUGAGGAAUAUUGAUCAAUGGGCGAGAGCCUGACCCAGCCAAGUAGCGUGAAGGAUGACUGCCCUAUGGGUUGUAAACUUCUUUUAUAAAGGAAUACAGUCGGGUAUGGAUACCCGUUUGCAUGUACUUUAUGAAUAAGGAUCGGCUAACUCCGUGCCAGCAGCCGCGGUAAUACGGAGGAUCCGAGCGUUAUCCGGAUUUAUUGCGUUAAAGGGAGCGUAGAUGGAUGUUUAAGUCAGUUGUGAAAGUUCGCGGCUCAACCGUAAAAUUGCAGUUGAUACUGGAUAUCUUGAGUGCAGUUGAGGCAGGCGGAAUUCGUGGUGUAGCGGUGAAAUGCUUAGAUAUCACGAAGAACUCCGAUUGCGAAGGCAGCCUGCUAAGCUGCAACUGACAUUGAGGCUCGAAAGUGUGGGUAUCAAACAGGAUUAGAUACCCUGGUAGUCCACACGGUAAACGAUGAAUACUCGCUGUUUGCGAUAUACUGCAAGCGGCCAAGCGAAAGCGUUAAGUAUUCCACCUGGGGAGUACGCCGGCAACGGUGAAACUCAAAGGAAUUGACGGGGGCCCGCACAAGCGGAGGAACAUGUGGUUUAAUUCGAUGAUACGCGAGGAACCUUACCCGGGCUUAAAUUGCAGAUGAAUUACGGUGAAAGCCGUAAGCCGCAAGGCAUCUGUGAAGGUGCUGCAUGGUUGUCGUCAGCUCGUGCCGUGAGGUGUCGGCUUAAGUGCCAUAACGAGCGCAACCCUUGUUGUCAGUUACUAACAGGUUCCGCUGAGGACUCUGACAAGACUGCCAUCGUAAGAUGUGAGGAAGGUGGGGAUGACGUCAAAUCAGCACGGCCCUUACGUCCGGGGCUACACACGUGUUACAAUGGGGGGUACAGAGGGCCGCUACCACGCGAGUGGAUGCCAAUCCCCAAAACCUCUCUCAGUUCGGACUGGAGUCUGCAACCCGACUCCACGAAGCUGGAUUCGCUAGUAAUCGCGCAUCAGCCACGGCGCGGUGAAUACGUUCCCGGGCCUUGUACACAC